GAUGAACGCUGGCGGCGUGCUUAACACAUGCAAGUCGAGCGAACAGAUGAGGCUUUCGCUGUUCUGUCGUUAGCGACGGAUGGGUAAGACAUACGCGGCGAACCUACCUAUAUGAAUUGAAUAACUUCGGGAAACCGGAGUUCAUACCGGGUAAUAUAUUGACCUGCAUGGUUCAUUAGUGAAAGAUGGUUUUUCUGUCACUCAUAGAUCGAUUCGCGCCGUAUUAGCUAGUUGGUAAGGUAACGGCUUACCAAGGCAACGAUGCGUAGCCGACCUGGGAGGGUGGUCGGCCACCCGGGAACGGAGACACGGUCCAUACUCCUACGGGAGGCAGCAGUAGGGAAUCUUCCGCAAUGGGCGAAAACCUUACGGAGCAGCGCCGCGUGAGUGAUGAAAGUCUUCGGAGCGUAAAACUCUGUUAUUAGGGAAGAACAAAUGUGUAAGUAACUAUGCACGUCUUGACGGUACCUAAUCAGAAAGCCCCGGCUAACUACGUG
This 497-nucleotide ribosomal RNA is filed under the name uncultured bacterium. RNAcentral describes it as "partial 16S ribosomal RNA". It matches the Rfam family "Bacterial small subunit ribosomal RNA", at positions 28 to 507 of the family's 1533-position model. The record is from RNAcentral.